Molecule: ribosomal RNA, 978 nt
Filed under: Gloeochaete wittrockiana
Lineage: Eukaryota; Glaucocystophyceae; Gloeochaetales; Gloeochaetaceae
Description: partial Bacterial large subunit ribosomal RNA
Rfam family: Bacterial large subunit ribosomal RNA
Source: RNAcentral
GGAAAACCGAAGCCCCGGUGAACGGCGGCCGUAACAAUAACGGUCCUAAGGUAGCGAAAUUCCUUGUCGGGUAAGUUCCGACCUGCACGAAUGGCGUAACGAUGGCCACACUGUCUCCUCCUGAGACUCAGCGAAGUUGAAAUGUUUGUGAUGAUGCAAUCUCCCCGCGGAAAGACGGAAAGACCCCAUGAACCUUUACUGUAGCUUUGUAUUGGACUUUGAACAGAUCUGUGUAGGAUAGGUGGGAGGCUUUGAAGCAGGGUCGCUAGAUCUUGUGGAGCCAACGUUGAAAUACCACCCUGGUGUGUUUGAGGUUCUAACCUAGGUCCAUUAUCUGGAUCGGGGACAGUGCAUGGUAGGCAGUUUGACUGGGGCGGUCUCCUCCCAAAGCGUAACGGAGGAGUUCGAAGGUACGCUAGUUACGGUCGGACAUCGUGACGAUAGUGCAAUGGCAUAAGCGUGCUUAACUGCGAGACUGACAAGUCGAGCAGAUGCGAAAGCAGGACAUAGUGAUCCGGUGGUUCUGUAUGGAAGGGCCAUCGCUCAACGGAUAAAAGGUACUCUGGGGAUAACAGGCUGAUACCGCCCAAGAGUUCAUAUCGACGGCGGUGUUUGGCACCUCGAUGUCGGCUCAUCUCAUCCUGGGGCUGUAGCCGGUCCCAAGGGUAUGGCUGUUCGCCAUUUAAAGAGGUACGUGAGCUGGGUUUAAAACGUCGUGAGACAGUUUGGUCCCUAUCUUCCGUGGGCGCUGCAGAUUUGAGGAAGCCUGCUCCUAGUACGAGAGGACCGGAGUGGACACACCUCUGGUGUAUCGGUUGUCACGCCAGUGGCAUUGCCGAGUAGCUAAGUGCGGAAGAGAUAACCGCUGAAAGCAUCUAAGCGGGAAACUCGUUUCAAGAUGAGAUCUGCCGGGGCCUUGAGCCCCCUAAAGAGUCGUUCAAGACCAGGACGUUGAUAGGUCAGGUGUGGAAGCGCAGU